Non-coding RNA from Calypte anna (Anna's hummingbird), 138 nucleotides. NCBI's taxonomy places the organism in Eukaryota, Metazoa, Chordata, Aves, Apodiformes, Trochilidae. The record is from Rfam.
UGGAGGACUGAGAAGGUAAGCCAGUUAACUCCUUGCUGUAGCUUACUGGUUCAAGCCUCCAAAAUUGUACUUGUGCAAUAGCAGCUCAUGCUUCCUUCUUGACGUGAGGGAAAGCAGUACUGCAGUUGCACAUAAAAA